GGAUUAUGGCUGUCUGUCGGUUCUAAUCGAAUCGGCUCGGCUGAAAUACAUGAGCGACCACACUGAAUACAGUGACGGCUUGACUCGGCGUAAUAAUUUUUUUCCGCUGAGGACGUCCAUUUUUCAGAUAGGCGCUUCUAAUGCUACAAAUCUUUUAAGCUUUAGACCUCAAAUCAGUCAGGACUACCCGCUGAACUUAA
RNAcentral lists this unclassified non-coding RNA (200 nucleotides) under soil metagenome. RNAcentral's name for it is "partial contains internal transcribed spacer 2 and large subunit ribosomal RNA". The record is from RNAcentral.